Molecule: transfer RNA, 76 nt
Filed under: Candidatus Bathyarchaeota archaeon
Lineage: Archaea; Thermoproteati; Candidatus Bathyarchaeota
Also listed under: 1 other name
Description: tRNA-Cys
Rfam family: tRNA
About the family: Transfer RNA (tRNA) molecules are approximately 80 nucleotides in length. Their secondary structure includes four short double-helical elements and three loops (D, anti-codon, and T loops). Further hydrogen bonds mediate the characteristic L-shaped molecular structure. tRNAs have two regions of fundamental functional importance: the anti-codon, which is responsible for specific mRNA codon recognition, and the 3' end, to which the tRNAs corresponding amino acid is attached (by aminoacyl-tRNA synthetases). tRNAs cope with the degeneracy of the genetic code in two manners: having more than one tRNA (with a specific anti-codon) for a particular amino acid; and 'wobble' base-pairing, i.e. permitting non-standard base-pairing at the 3rd anti-codon position.
Source: RNAcentral
GCCGGGGUGGCUGAGCGGUUUAGGCGGCCGGCUGCAGACCGGCUCUACACCGGUUCAAAUCCGGUCCCCGGCUCCA